Alligator sinensis (Chinese alligator) is the source of this 941-nucleotide long non-coding RNA. RefSeq lists it as uncharacterized. The transcript is spliced from 3 exons. The record is from RefSeq and is a predicted model, not a curated record. Lineage: Eukaryota; Metazoa; Chordata; Crocodylia; Alligatoridae.
AAAACUGAUUACUGCCUGUUCCUUGAGGGAUCAUUUCCAGUAGAUCCUGUGUGCAAAAUGCUUUGGGAUUCUGAACAAGAGGUGUUAUACAAGUCUAAAGUAGAGCUGUGCAAAAUUAAAAAAAAAAGUAAUCUGGACCCACAUCUACAAGAAAGCCAUAACCACAGAAUGGGAAGAGUCGCUCUCUUUCUCGGUGACUAUUUAACUAUUCCACAUGAAAUGGAACCAUUUCAACAGAGAGUUUCCUGCACCAGAAUACCUGCUAGUGUGGAGCUAGAGGCACUCUCCUGAAUGGGAACCAGAAUUCCCAUAAACUGGAGGAGUACCCAGUGAAAGGGUGGCAGCUCCUCUUCCAAUUGUGCCGGGUAUGGAUAAUUAAGCUGUGGAUUUCCUGUCAAGAUGCAACGCUACAAUGACGAUGGCUGGGAGGCUAGAGGGACUACACCAGAGAAAUGAGGACAUGAGCAACACCAGUGGCAGGGAAAAAGAUUAUGCCCCAAGGUGAUUUAAAUGGGAGGGAUAUGUGGCAGCGAAGAUCAUGCUGCCAGGUCUAAGGAUGGUCUAGGCUCAGGGGAAAGGGCCUUGAGGACCCCAAAGAUGUCUGGAGAGCUAAGGGCUAGCACUCUUCUGGUGGAACUAGGUAAGUAAGCGAUUUGCUCCAAUAAUCCUCUGUUGCUUACAGGAACAAAGGGGCAGCUUCCAUCUUGUCUGCUGCCUUUCAUGCUGCCCCACCAGCCAGCACCUUCCCCUCCCAAUAGUGAGGACCACUGGUUCCCACUGAGAAGCCAGCAUUUUAUUUUUAAGGGUUUUUUUUGGUUGAUUUCACAGAUUUUGUGGACAAUCCUGGCUUUUACAGUUUCCACAAAAUCUGUGAAACCACAAUUAAGCAGGUCUCUAUUGGUUGGUCUUAGUGCAUUAUCAUAUCCUUUCCAUUCUUAUUA